This is a small nucleolar RNA of Ahaetulla prasina, 127 nucleotides long. The record is from RefSeq and is a predicted model, not a curated record. Lineage: Eukaryota; Metazoa; Chordata; Lepidosauria; Squamata; Colubridae.
ACACAAACUUGCUCACUGGCUCUGCAUGAUGUAGCAGAAGCAAAGGAAAAGGUUUGUUAAAUUAAACAGGGUAAAAGACAUUUAGUAGCCUUAAAUAUAGCAAGGCGGCUUACUGUAUAGUACACCA